This is a long non-coding RNA of Lolium rigidum, 798 nucleotides long. RefSeq lists it as uncharacterized. The record is from RefSeq and is a predicted model, not a curated record. Lineage: Eukaryota; Viridiplantae; Streptophyta; Magnoliopsida; Poales; Poaceae. The transcript is spliced from 2 exons.
CAACUGACGGUUCCACUUAUCUCUUUUUCUCCACCGCUGAUAUCCAAUUAAGGUAGUGUUCGCUCCCAUCUGAAAUAAGAAUGGUAGUCUCCGUUCCCACAAAUCCACCAAAAUCAGAUCGCCGACUCUCUCCCUCGCGUACAAAUGGAGCUUCAAUUGGAGAAUUAGGUACUGCUGUUGGACUGUGAGGACCAUGCCGGACGGCCGGGCUGAAGAGGGAGAGGCACCUUCGACCGGACCAGGAUCUGGAGGCUUGCGCCGCAUAUUGGGGCUGAUGGCCGCCGGCCUGACGGUCGUCUCCCUUCAGAAGAUAGAAGGCCUGGUGCUUGGCGUUGUUCUGAACUGGCAAGGACGCUGCCGUGAAUUGGUGAAGAUUGUGAACUAUGGUGUUCCUAUCUAUGUCGUCCGCUGUUUUCCCCACGGAAACAUUUCUGAAAAUCUUUUCAGUUGAGGACGAUGAACUGCAAGCCAGCGGUUGUUCUUUUGUUGCAUACUAUAUUCCUGAGAAGUGUGGAAACAAUAAGUUUUAUCACCCAUGAAGAACUAUUAUUUAGCCGUCAUCACUGAAGCCAACUUACCAUGGGUAGUUGGCACCAAGGCUCUACGACACCUUCCAUGGUAUGCUCGGCCACCAGACCAGACGCCUGCUUAGUUGUUGUGUUGCCUCUUGCAAUUCUUUAUGUUUUUGUUCCGGUUCUGCUGAGAUGUACAUUUUUUCUCGCUUUGCUGCCUUCUUCUAAUGUCAAGUGACGUACUUUCGUGUGUGUUCGAGAAAAAUAAAUCUAGUCUACUCUUCAA